UUGAAAUAACGGUUCCCGUACGAUCACGGAAGUUAAGCAAUGUCGUGCCUGGUCAGUACCUAGAUUGGUUACCACUUGGGAAUAUCCGGCGC
Non-coding RNA from Acanthosepion pharaonis, 92 nucleotides. Lineage: Eukaryota; Metazoa; Mollusca; Cephalopoda; Sepiida; Sepiidae. The record is from the annotation of a GenBank genome assembly.